Molecule: non-coding RNA, 90 nt
Organism: Bemisia tabaci
Lineage: Eukaryota; Metazoa; Arthropoda; Insecta; Hemiptera; Aleyrodidae
Source: RefSeq, a predicted model, not a curated record
CGCGGUUUUCAGCUUUCGAAGAUGGUCGAAUCGACCAUCUUCAUGGCUGCACGAGACAACCUUUUUUUUCCGUGUAUGUUUUAAAUCAAC